This 3439-nucleotide long non-coding RNA is filed under the name Salmo salar (Atlantic salmon). RNAcentral's name for it is "lncRNA (ENSSSAG00000090058.1)". Lineage: Eukaryota; Metazoa; Chordata; Actinopteri; Salmoniformes; Salmonidae. The record is from RNAcentral.
GGUUUAGGGUUUAUGGUUUAUGGUAGGGACGUGCCAAGGGCCCCUGAUAGCACUGAUGCUUUCCACACAGAAUUCAACCCAAAUAAUAAAAACAUGAAUCGAAAACCGUGAUUUUUGUAUUUAUUAUAAUGAGCCGAAACUAAACCCUGUCCACACGCCCAGUAUUUUCCUUUCGACACACCCAGUUGACCAUAGUCCAGUCUCCAUAUUGAGCUGCAGCUAACUACCUCUCUAUGUGAACGUGAGUAAAUUACCUUGAAAACAACGGCCGGACAUCUAGGAAGCAGUCUCCGGUUUGUAUUAUACCUCGGUGGUGGAAACGGAACAAAUAUCGACCGGAUCUUAUUCGGACGACAACAACAUGUAAUUAAAGAUGUUUUGAAGCCGGUGUACAAAACCGAAAGUAAACGACGCAAAGAAGCAUAGAAAUAGCAGAUCUACCGCUUCUCAGACUUGCUUUCAAUGAGAAGACCUCGAUCUAUAAAGGAUAUUAUUAUUAUUUUAUUCUUUAUGAAAGGUGUAACCAAGUCUUCUGAGAACACAGAGAAACAUGGCUACAGUCUUCAUCUGUUCCGUCUGUACCGAGAUUUUCACCGGACAUAUAUCGCUGAGCUGCCAACACAUCUUCUGUAGUCGAUGCCUCCAGAAGAGUGUGGACGCUGGUCGCGUCAUCUGUCCAGUGUGCGGAGAUCUAAUCACGUCGGAGAACUUCAGAGUCAACAGAAUACUAAGGGACAUGGCAGAUGAAGUGAGACGGAGAAGAGUUGAUCUCAGAGUGUUGAAGGGGAAUGAGGACGUUGAUGUGAAUAUCUGGGAAAGCUACAAGAAGAAGAAGAAGAAGAAGAAGAAAAAUGUUAAAAUAUCAAAGUCCUAUAUGAAGGAAGGCCUGGCUGUCAGAAAGACAGAGGGGAAGCUGAAGUCUUCUCUGACCACUGGUCCCUGGGAAGGUAUACUUUUUGGUAUUAUGGCCUUUUGUUGCUUUAUUUCUGUACUGCCUUGUGUUGUCCUUCCUUGUGUGGAAAAUGUGUCUGUAACGAUGUCAGGAAAUGCAGCCAAGGUGUUCGGAUCUCUUUUGGUGUUCAUUUCUAUGUUUGUUGUCUUCGGAGUUGUUGCUCAUUCGGUGGAUUUUGUGUUGAAAAAAGUUUAGACUUAAAGGAUUUUAUUAUAGUAAUAAGUGAUUGAUUGCUUUUAUGCAGUGUUGGAGAAUCACCGGAUGCCGCUAAAUACCUUUCCCAGAAGUUUGGUGGUAGUUUAACAACUUUUUGAAAUGAAUUACCUUAUUGAGUUGACCACAUCUAUAGGUUUAUGCCCAGUUUAUUGUUGCUAUAAGUGUAGUAGAUUUUACUAUCAGUUGUAAAAUGAUAUGUUGUGAAGUUAGCUUUAAACUGCUAACUGGUUAUAUGGAAGGAAAGGACGAUGGGUUUAUUGUUGUAAAACUUUCCCCUGUAAAUUUACCAGCAUUAUACUGGUACCAGAGUUGCCAGCGUAAUACUGUAAUUUUGCUUUACAGCAGAGAUGCUGUAAUAUAUUUUACAGUACCUAUUUUCCUUACUGUAAAACAUAUUACAGCAUCCCUGCUUUAAAUUUACAGCUGUAAGGUUUUACAGCUGUAGUAUUCAAAGUUGAGGUUCGUGACCCCCACAACUGCAGUCGUGUUGCCAACAAUUUUAUUUUAAAUUGUUAAUAUUAUUAUUUAGUGUUAUUCUUUUUUUAUGAACAAAAAAAUAAAAUAUUAGACAAUAUAGAAACAUUUUUGAGAAAAGAUCAUCUGAAUUUUUAAUUUAAAAAAAAUGUAUUACACUACAUGUAUUUAUUGGUUUCUUUUCAGUUUGAUAACAGAUUAAAAUGUAAUGAAUUUAAUGUUAUUUGUUUAUGUAAAAAUAGAAAUGUAGCUAAUUUUAAGGUUGUGUCAUUAUAUUUGGAAAUUCUUGCGAAAAAAAUGGGGUCCCCGCUGAAAACGUUUAAAUACCACUGUUUUACAGUAAGGAAAAUAGUACUGUAAAAUAUAUUACAGCAUAUCUGCUGUAAAGCAAAAUUACAGUAUUAAGCUGGCAACUCUGGUGCCAUUACAAUGCUGAAUAUUUACAGUGAAAAACUACCUGAAAUCUAAAUACAAAGAAAUAUAUAUAUACAUUUGUACAUAAAAUACAUGAAUUCAAAUAGCUAACAACAUUAACUACAAACUAACAACAUAAUUGACAAUAGAAGUAACAGCAAUUAACACGUAUGUAACCAAAUAAGAGCAUCAUUACAACACUAAUUUAAAACUAUAUUGUGUGGGGAGGGGGGUGUGUGUGGGGGGCAAAAGAGAGAGAGAGGGAGAUUUAGAUUAAAUUGGGAUUGGGUACAAUCCUAGAUCUAUGAUCAGGGACUACUCUAUUCCGGGUUAUUGGGGUUCAGAGGCGGUCAAACACACAGCGGAAAGUCGGCAUCAUGUGUUCCUCAUGGGGCUCCGUAACAAACGUCCUCGGGUUCUGAUUGGUCAGCUCUUCUCAACCCUAGGACAAGCAUAGAAAAAUAAAGAAUAGAAUGAAAGACGGAGAGCACCAGGGCUGUUACUCUGGGGGUAAAUAGAGAGACAGAGAGCACCAGGGCUGUUACUCUGGGGGUAAAUAGAGAGACAGAGAGCACCAGGGCUGUUACUCUGGGGGGUAAAUAGAGAGACAGAGAGCACCAGGGCUGUUACUCUGGGGGGGGUAAAUAGAGAGACAGAGAGCACCAGGGCUGUUACUCUGGGGGGGGUAAAUAGAGAGACAGAGAGCACCAGGGCUGUUACUCUGGGGGGUAAAUAGAGAGACAGAGAGCACCAGGGCUGUUACUCUGGGGGUAAAUAGAGAGACAGAGAGCACCAGGGCUGUUACUCUGGGGGGGUAAAUAGAGAGACAGAGAGCACCAGGGCUGUUACUCUGGGGGGGUAAAUAGAGAGACAGAGAGCACCAGGGCUGUUACUCUGGGGGGGUAAAUAGAGAGACAGAGAGCACCAGGGCUGUUACUCUGGGGGGGUAAAUAGAGAGAGGACAAGGGACAUAUCAAGCUUGUGUUGUGUGUACGUACUUAACUACAAAUCUACAGGAGGCAUAAUCUAUUACUGUAAAGAAAUUAAUACAGAAUGUUUUGAGUCAUUCCUCCAGGAGGCUUCCAAUUACAGUUAAUAACAGUAUUUUUCAGCAUUUUACCCAUAAUGCAGUGCAAUCUAUAGCAUUAAUGCUGUAAACACACGUAUGGUAAUUUACUGUGCAUUCUACAGUGUUUUAAUGUUGAAAUGACAGUCUUACACUAUAUAGCUUUUCUCCAUUUGAAAAGACACUAACCUAUUUGUAUUGAAAUGUAAUAAAAAUAUAAUUCUGUUAAGACGUUUUUUUGUUUUUCCAUCACUAAUACCCUUUUUCCUUCACUACUUAAAUGAUAAUUGCUCUUGUGUUUGCAACAGAGAGAUCCU